This 1235-nucleotide ribosomal RNA is filed under the name metagenome. Its description in RNAcentral is "bacterial LSU rRNA". It matches the Rfam family "Bacterial large subunit ribosomal RNA", at positions 1564 to 2808 of the family's 2925-position model. The record is from RNAcentral.
UGAAUACGAGGCACUAAGGUGCUGAAGUAGUGUAUGCCAUACUUCCAAGAAAAGCUUGCACUAUCGUAAGAUUAAAAUGCCUGUACCAUAACCGACACAGGUGGGUAGGUAGAGUAUACUAAGGGGCGCGAGAUAACUCUCUCUAAGGAACUCGGCAAAAUAACUCCGUAACUUCGGGAGAAGGAGUGCCUUAUUCUAUAAGGUUGCAAUAACAAGAUCCAAGCAACUGUUUAUCAAAAACACAGGUCUCCGCUAAGUCGUAAGACGGUGUAUGGGGGCUGACGCCUGCCCAGUGCCAGAAGGUUAAAGAAGUCGGUUAGCAAUUGCGAAGCUGGUAACUGAAGCCCUGGUGAACGGCGGCCGUAACUAUAACGGUCCUAAGGUAGCGAAAUUCCUUGUCGGGUAAGUUCCGACCCGCACGAAAGGCGUAAUGAUUUGGAUACUGUCUCGGAGAGGGACUCGGUGAAAUAGACUUGUCUGUGAAGAUGCGGACUACCUGCACCAGGACAGAAAGACCCUAUGAAGCUUUACUGUAACUUGAAAUAGAAAUUGGACUUUAUUCGCGCAGUAUAGGUGGGAGGCGUUGAUUAUAAUCUUGUGGGAUUAUUGGAGCCAUUAGUGAGAUACCACUCUUGUAAUGUUAGAUUUCUAACUUUGAAACAUGAUCUGGUCAAAGAACAGUUUCAGGCGGGCAGUUUGACUGGGGCGGUCGCCUCCUAAAUGGUAACGGAGGCGUACAAAGGUUUCCUCUGAACGGGUAGAAAUCGUAUCUAGAGUGUAAAGGCAUAAGGAAGCUUGACUGUGAGACCUACAAGUCGAGCAGGGACGAAAGUCGGUCUUAGUGAUCUGACGGUACUGAGUGGAAAGGCCGUCACUCAACGGAUAAAAGUUACUCUAGGAUAACAGGCUGAUCUCCCCCAAGAGUUCACAUCGACGGGGAGGUUUGGCACCUCGAUGUCGGCUCAUCGCAUCCUGGGGCGGUAGUACGUCCCAAGGGUUGGGCUGUUCGCCCAUGAAAGCGGUACGCGAGCUGGGUUCAGAACGUCGUGAGACAGUUCGGUCCAUAUCCGGUGUAGGCGUUAGAAUAUUGAGAGGAGCCUUCUUUAGUACGAGAGGACCGAGAAGGACAUACCUCUGGUGUACCAGUUAUCGUGCCAACGGUAAACGCUGGGUAGCUAUGUAUGGAGUGGAUAACCGCUGAAAGCAUCUAAGUGGGAAGCCCACCUCAAGAUAAG